UACGUAGGGGGCAAGCGUUGUCCGGAAUCAUUGGGCGUAAAGAGCGUGUAGGCGGCUUGGUAAGUCCGAUGUGAAAGUCCAGGGCUCAACCCUGGAAUGCCGGUGGAAACUGUCAAGCUUGAGUCCGGAAGAGGCGAGUGGAAUUCCUGGUGUAGCGGUGAAAUGCGCAGAUAUCAGGAGGAACACCAAUGGCGAAGGCAGCUCGCUGGGACGGUACUGACGCUGAGACGCGAAAGCGUGGGGAGCAAACAGG
This 253-nucleotide ribosomal RNA is filed under the name uncultured bacterium. Its description in RNAcentral is "partial 16S ribosomal RNA". It matches the Rfam family "Bacterial small subunit ribosomal RNA", at positions 524 to 776 of the family's 1533-position model. The record is from RNAcentral.